UACGUAGGGUGCGAGCGUUGUCCGGAUUUAUUGGGCGUAAAGAGCGUGUAGGCGGCCAUACAGGUCCGUUGUGAAAACUCGAGGCUCAACCUCGAGACGUCGAUGGAAACCGUAUGGCUAGAGUCCGGAAGAGGAGAGUGGAAUUCCUGGUGUAGCGGUGAAAUGCGCAGAUAUCAGGAAGAACACCCGUGGCGAAGGCGGCUCUCUGGGACGGUACUGACGCUGAGACGCGAAAGCGUGGGGAGCGAACAGG
RNAcentral lists this ribosomal RNA (253 nucleotides) under uncultured bacterium. RNAcentral describes it as "partial 16S ribosomal RNA". It matches the Rfam family "Bacterial small subunit ribosomal RNA", at positions 524 to 776 of the family's 1533-position model. The record is from RNAcentral.